RNAcentral lists this ribosomal RNA (518 nucleotides) under uncultured Clostridium sp. Its description in RNAcentral is "bacterial SSU rRNA". It matches the Rfam family "Bacterial small subunit ribosomal RNA", at positions 8 to 521 of the family's 1533-position model. Lineage: Bacteria; Bacillati; Bacillota; Clostridia; Eubacteriales; Clostridiaceae. The record is from RNAcentral.
AGAGUUUGAUCCUGGCUCAGGAUGAACGCUGGCGGCGUGCUUAACACAUGCAAGUCGAACGAAGAUACUUAAAAUGAGAGCUUCGGCAGGAUUUUUAUUUAUCUUAGUGGCGGACGGGUGAGUAACGUGUGGGCAACCUGCCCUAUACUGGGGAAUAAUCACUGGAAACGGUGACUAAUACCGCAUGUCAUUACGGAAGGGCAUCCUUCUGUAAGAAAAGGAGUAAUUCGGUAUAGGAUGGGCCCGCAUCUGAUUAGCUAGUUGGUGAGAUAACAGCCCACCAAGGCGACGAUCAGUAGCCGACCUGAGAGGGUGAUCGGCCACAUUGGGACUGAGACACGGCCCAAACUCCUACGGGAGGCAGCAGUGGGGAAUAUUGCACAAUGGGGGAAACCCUGAUGCAGCAACGCCGCGUGAAGGAAGAAGGUUUUCGGAUCGUAAACUUCUAUCAACAGGGACGAAGAAAGUGACGGUACCUGAAUAAGAAGCCCCGGCAACUACGUGCCAGCAGCCGCGGU